Long non-coding RNA from Lampris incognitus (smalleye Pacific opah), 297 nucleotides. RefSeq lists it as uncharacterized. NCBI's taxonomy places the organism in Eukaryota, Metazoa, Chordata, Actinopteri, Lampriformes, Lampridae. The record is from RefSeq and is a predicted model, not a curated record. The transcript has 3 exons.
GGCGGUUUCAAUGGCGAUUGAGGGUGGUUCCUCCUAUGAAGUUACCUCAAUUCACAGGAUGCCUGAGCUCGUCGAGACGGUAGCCAAUCAGAUGGACUCUCCAGCCCAUUCUCUUUCAACAGGUGGCUGGUGUGACAGAGGAAGAUGCAGAGGGCGGGAAGAAAUGGAAACGGAUGAUCCGCUGUGGCGACCCCUUACGGGAGCAGCUGAAAGUACAAACAACUGAUGGUUUUUGAAAAAUCUACAUCAAAACACAUUUUCUGCUUCAACAGUGACAGUAGAGAGAGAGACAGGAAA